GGUUCAGGAUGAACGCUGGCGGCGUGCUUAACACAUGCAAGUCGAACGAAGCAACUUGUCACGAUCCCUCGGGGUGAUGACUUGUUGACUGAGUGGCGGACGGGUGAGUAACGCGUGGGUAACCUACCUGUACAGGGGGAUAACAGUUGGAAACGACUGCUAAUACCGCAUAAGCGCACAGCAUCGCAUGAUGCAGUGUGAAAAGUUUUUCGGUAUAAGAUGGACCCGCGUCUGAUUAGCUAGUUGGUGAGGUAACGGCCCACCAAGGCGACGAUCAGUAGCCGACCUGAGAGGGUGACCGGCCACAUUGGGACUGAGACACGGCCCAAACUCCUACGGGAGGCAGCAGUGGGGAAUAUUGCACAAUGGGCGAAAGCCUGAUGCAGCGAACCGCCGCGUGAGCGAAGAAGUAUUUCGGUAUGUAAAGCUCUAUCAGCAGGGAAGAUAAUGACGGUACCUGACUAAGAAGCACCGGCUAAAUACGUGCCAGCCGCAGC
RNAcentral lists this ribosomal RNA (497 nucleotides) under uncultured bacterium. RNAcentral describes it as "bacterial SSU rRNA". It matches the Rfam family "Bacterial small subunit ribosomal RNA", at positions 21 to 518 of the family's 1533-position model. The record is from RNAcentral.